Molecule: long non-coding RNA, 691 nt
Filed under: Androctonus crassicauda
Lineage: Eukaryota; Metazoa; Arthropoda; Arachnida; Scorpiones; Buthidae
Source: RNAcentral
UUUCAGGGAGACAUUCUUGGCCAAAUACCCUUGGCAGUAAAUUCAAUAGCCUGGUCUGUAAGAUUUGCACCAAACAUCUUGAAAUGCGCAGCACUUUAUAUGCUUCUAUCGACAUCAUUACACUCAACCAGGAAGUUCCAGCAAAACACUUCCUGUCCAUCUCACAGCACCUCAGCUUCUCACACACACUUCACAGCUUCUCACAGCUUCUGACACCUCAGCUUCUCACAGCACCUCAGCUUCUGACAUUCUAUCAGCUUCUCACAGCUUCUGACACCUCAGCUUCUCACAGCACCUCAGCUUCCUGAUGUCAGAAGCUGAGGUGUGAAGCUUAGGCAAUCUUGGGUCAUCACACUUAUCACAUUUCUGAAAGAAGGAAUGCCACAGUUUUCCAAUAGAUUUGUAACAAUAAAGAAACUAGGCCUAACUCUGAGAGAUGUGAUUGAUAUACAAGAUAUUAUUAAUCAAUUCUAAGACCAGCACAAGUAAGCCACUACAUAGAAAUAACUAGAUGUCUAGAUCAUCUACUACAAGACCAAUAUGAGGGAUAAAAAAAAUAAGAGAAAUAUGGCUCUCAUAUAAGUGGCAUACUUGAGAGAUGUGACUCUUAAAUAGGUUGAUGCUAAAAUCAUUGACUCACUGCAUUCUAACAAAUUGAGGUCCAACUUUUGCAAGAUUUGGAAGAUUUAUA